CCGCAUCCAGAGCAACCAAGAAAGAUGUAAUGAAGUCAGUUGUGUGAUAUAUAUAUAUAUGGGACUUCCCUGGCCAAGGUCAUUUAGCUGCGUAAAGGAAUGGAUUCCCAUCUUGCUUUUUGUUGUGAUCCUGGCACCUCUUAAAUGUCGUUACUAAGGUUGUCAAUUCCUUUCCUUCUGUGAGGUCCCGUUGUCAGGGAACACUUGCCCACCCCCAAAAAGGAGCCUUUAGCACUCGAUUGAAGCACAAUGGCCACCAAUUGGGUUUUUUAUCAAAUCCGCAGAAUGAAAUCAUAACAUAGUUGAAAAUCUCUAUUCUUCUUUUAAAGUAAACAUUAAGUAUCAGACACGGAACACGUUUAUUUCACAGUUGACGCGGAUAAAUUAUAUAUACGUACAGAGAUAUAUAUACAUAACACCACUUAACUGUUUUGUUACGGAUAGUCAAAUGACACCGGCCAGAAAUGAAUCGGUUGACCCAGCUCUGGCCUACUGCAAAUAAUAUAAAAC
RNAcentral lists this small RNA (510 nucleotides) under Histoplasma capsulatum var. duboisii H88. Its description in RNAcentral is "Histoplasma capsulatum H88 hypothetical RNA". Lineage: Eukaryota; Fungi; Ascomycota; Eurotiomycetes; Onygenales; Ajellomycetaceae. The record is from RNAcentral.